UACGAAGGGGGCUAGCGUUGCUCGGAAUCACUGGGCGUAAAGCGCACGUAGGCGGGUCGUUAAGUCGGGGGUGAAAUCCUGGAGCUCAACUCCAGAACUGCCUUCGAUACUGAGAGUCUCGAGUCCGAGAGAGGUGAGUGGAACUGCGAGUGUAGAGGUGAAAUUCGUAGAUAUUCGCAAGAACACCAGUGGCGAAGGCGGCUCACUGGCUCGGUACUGACGCUGAGGUGCGAAAGCGUGGGGAGCAAACAGG
RNAcentral lists this ribosomal RNA (253 nucleotides) under uncultured bacterium. Its description in RNAcentral is "partial 16S ribosomal RNA". It matches the Rfam family "Bacterial small subunit ribosomal RNA", at positions 524 to 776 of the family's 1533-position model. The record is from RNAcentral.